AAGCGUGAGGUAAGAGCAUUUGGUGGAUGCCUAGGCAUACACAGGCGAUGAAGGACGUGGCACGCUGCGAUAAGCUACGGCGAGAUGUGAGCAAUCUUUGACCCGUAGAUUUCCGAAUGGGGAAACCCAUCCUCACCAUUUAAUUUCGAUAUUGUUCUGCAGUAUCGGAGUUAGGUGGGAAGGAUAUUACCAAAGUGAAUACAUAGCUUUGGUGAAGCGAACCCGGCGAACUGAAACAUCUAAGUACCCGGAGGAAAAGACAUCAACCGAGAUUCCGUUAGUAGUGGCGAGCGAACGCGGAGUAGGCCAGUACCUUUGAUUGCGUUAGCAGAAGUCUUUGGAAAGAGACACCAUAGUGGGUGACAGUCCCGUAUGUUAAAACAAUAUUGAAGGUCUUGAGUAGGGCGGGGCACGUGAAACCUUGUCUGAACAUGGGGGGACCACCCUCCAAGCCUAAAUACUCGUGUAUGACCGAUAGUGAACAAGUACCGUGAGGGAAAGGUGAAAAGAACCCCGAUUAGGGGAGUGAAACAGUUCCUGAAACCGAAUGCUUACAAGCAGUAGGAGGGUCUUUAAGGCCUGACUGCGUACCUCUUGCAUAAUGGGUCUGUGACUUAAUGUAUCAAGCAAGCUUAAGCCGAUAGGUGUAGGCGCAGCGAAAGCGAGUCUGAAUAGGGCGACUUAGUUUGAUGCAUUAGACCCGAAACCCGGCGAUCUAGGCAUGGUCAGGAUGAAGGUAAGGUAACACUUACUGGAGGUCCGAACCGAUUAACGUUGAAAAGUUAUCGGAUGAACUGUGUUUAGGGGUGAAAGGCCAAUCAAGCCGGGAAAUAGCUGGUUCUCCGCGAAAACUAUUGAGGUAGUGCCUCAUGUGAUGACCGUUGGGGGUAGAGCACUGGAUGGAUGCGGGGGUUUCGCGACCUACCAAAUCUAACCAAACUCCGAAUACCAACGAGUUUAACAUGGGAGACAGACGGCGGGUGCUAAGGUCCGUCGUCGAGAGGGAAACAGCCCUGACCUAACAGCUAAGGUCCCCAAGGUCAUGUCUAAGUGGGAAAGCUUGUGAAGACCCCAAAACAACCAGGAGGUUGGCUUAGAAGCAGCCAUCCUUUAAAGAAAGCGUAACAGCUCACUGGUCUAAAUAAGGGUCUUUGCGGCGAAGAUGUAACGGGGCUCAAGACAUGCACCGAAGCUUAGGAUUGUUACAUUAGUAACAGUGGUAGCGGAGCGUUCCGUAAGCCUGUGAAGCAGUCUGGUAAUGGACUGUGGAGGUAUCGGAAGUGCGAAUGCAGACAUGAGUAGCGAUAAAUAGGGUGAGAUGCCCUAUCGCCGAAAGUCCAAGGGUUCCUGCGCAAGGCUAAUCCGCGCAGGGUGAGUCGGCCCCUAAGACGAGCCCGAAGGGGGUAGUCGAUGGGAAACAGGUUAAUAUUCCUGUACCUGGAGAGAUGUGACGGAUCGUGUAAAUUGUAUGUCCUUAUCGGAUUGGACAUGCUCAUAAGCGGUUCCAGGAAAUAGCCUCUCCAUAUAGACCGUACCCUAAACCGACACAGGUGGACAGGUAGAGUAUACCAAGGCGCUUGAGAGAAGGGUGUUGAAGGAACUCGGCAAAUUGCCUCCGUACCUUCGGAAGAAGGAGGCCCUUAUUAUAGGCAACUAUUCUAAGGGGGCACAGGCCAGGGGGUAGCGACUGUUUAGCAAAAACACAGGGCUCUGCAAAGUCGGCUUCAAGACGACGUAUAGGGCCUGACGCCUGCCCGGUGCUGGAAGGUUAAGUGGAGGAGUGCAAGCUCUGAAAUGAAGCCCCAGUAAACGGCGGCCGUAACUAUAACGGUCCUAAGGUAGCGAAAUUCCUUGUCGGGUAAGUUCCGACCUGCACGAAUGGCGUAACGACUUCCCCACUGUCUCCAACACCUGCUCAGCGAAAAUUGAAUUCUCCGUGAAGAUGCGGAGUACCCGCGGUUAGACGGAAAGACCCCGUGCACCUUUACUGCAGCUUCAGAGUGGCAUUAGGAAAGAACUGUGUAGCAUAGGUGGGAGGCUUUGAAACUUGAGCGCCAGCUUGAGUGGAGCCAUAGGUGAAAUACCACCCUGUUGUUUUCUGAUGUCUAACCUAGAACCAUGAAACUGGUUCAGGGACCCUCUGUGGCGGGUAGUUUGACUGGGGCGGUCGCCUCCUAAAGAGUAACGGAGGCGCGCGAUGGUUGGCUCAGGCCGGUUGGAAACCGGCUGCAAGAGUGCAAUGGCAUAAGCCAGCCUGACUGUGAGACUGACAAGUCGAACAGAGACGAAAGUCGGUCAUAGUGAUCCGGUGGUCCCUCGUGGAAGGGCCAUCGCUCAACGGAUAAAAGGUACGCCGGGGAUAACAGGCUGAUAACCCCCAAGAGCUCAUAUCGACGGGGUUGUUUGGCACCUCGAUGUCGGCUCAUCACAUCCUGGGGCUGGAGCAGGUCCCAAGGGUUUGGCUGUUCGCCAAUUAAAGUGGUACGUGAGCUGGGUUCAGAACGUCGCGAGACAGUUUGGUCCCUAUCUGCCGUGGGCGUCGAUAUUUGAGAGGAGUUGCCCUUAGUACGAAAGGACCGGGGUGAACAUGCCUCUGGUGGACCUGUCGUGGCGCCAGCCGCGCAGCAAGGUAGCUAUGCAUGGACGGGAUAACCGCUGAAAGCAUCUAAGCGGGAAGCCUCCCUCAAGAUAAGAUAUCUCAGAGCCGUCGAAGACUACGACGUUGAUAGGCCAGAUGUGGAAGUGUGGUAACACAUGUAGCUAACUGGUCCUAAUUGCUCUAUUCACGCUUUU
RNAcentral lists this ribosomal RNA (2793 nucleotides) under Zymomonas mobilis subsp. mobilis str. CP4 = NRRL B-14023. RNAcentral describes it as "bacterial LSU rRNA". It matches the Rfam family "Bacterial large subunit ribosomal RNA". Lineage: Bacteria; Pseudomonadati; Pseudomonadota; Alphaproteobacteria; Sphingomonadales; Zymomonadaceae. The record is from RNAcentral.